AUGUACAUCCCUACAGCAUAAUGUUAAUGCAUUGGAUCCCAUUAGAACUUCGUAGUUAAGCAUUAUCGGGCUAGAGUAGUAUUGGGAUGGGUGACCGCCUGCGAAGUCCUAGUAUUUUACAUG
Molecule: non-coding RNA, 123 nt
Organism: Picea glauca (white spruce)
Lineage: Eukaryota; Viridiplantae; Streptophyta; Pinopsida; Pinales; Pinaceae
Source: Rfam